GGGCAAAUGGUGUAGUUGGUUAUCACAUCCGCUUAGCAUCGCGCUGAUUGCGGAAGGGGUCCGGUUCAAUUCCGGAUUUGUCCA
Molecule: non-coding RNA, 84 nt
Organism: Pisolithus tinctorius
Lineage: Eukaryota; Fungi; Basidiomycota; Agaricomycetes; Boletales; Pisolithaceae
Source: the annotation of a GenBank genome assembly